GGUUUUUAAGAAAAAUGACGU
RNAcentral lists this small nuclear RNA (21 nucleotides) under Arabidopsis thaliana (thale cress). RNAcentral describes it as "snRNA_17197". The record is from RNAcentral. Lineage: Eukaryota; Viridiplantae; Streptophyta; Magnoliopsida; Brassicales; Brassicaceae.